CAAAGCUAUAAACGUCUGACUUAUGAGAUACAUUCCCAAAGUUCCUAGAGAACACUUCAGGUGCAAUGUAGCCCUUUGUGCCCCUAGCUGCUGUCAUUGAAACUGCACUUUGAUCCUUGGAACACAACUUAGCCAUACCAAAAUCUGAGAUUUUCGGAUUCAGGUUAUCAUCAAGCAGGAUGUUAUGUGGUUUGAUAUCAAAAUGUAGGAUUCGUUGAUCACACCCCUGGUGAAGAUACUCCAUCCCUUUUGCUAUGCCAAGAGCAAUAUCUUCCAGCUUCUUCCAGCCAAGAAAACUAUUUUUGUUGUCCGCAGAAGAGAUGAACUUUUGAAGUGAAUUUUUUGGUAAAUACUCAUAAACUAGAGCUCUUCGAAAUCCAUCAGCACAAAAACCAACCAAGCGAACUACAUUAACAUGGUGGAUUCUACCCAUUGUACCUACUUCAUUUAUAAACUCUUCCCCAUUCCCUAUGGAACUUUUGAGGACUUUAACAGCUACUAGAAUUUCAUUGGAUAACUUCCCUUUGUACACCGUUCCAUAAGCUCCUUCACCCAGCAGGUUCAUGAAUUGGUUGGUAAUUCUCUUAAUAUCAGCAUAAGUAAACCUUGUGGGCUUGAGAGCUUUGUAAUCCUCUAAAAAUUCUUUGAUUCUUUUUUGAUUGUUCUUUUCGGCUUUAUCUGAUCUAUGAACAUAGUAGAUCACCGCAAUAACUAGUCCUAGGAAAGAUGAACCCAGGGCUGUACCUGUAACUGCAAGAUAAACAAUCAUAGUUAAUAUUCUCUUCAUUUGUUUUAAUAACAGAGAUGUUAACAUGCACAAAUUUUACCUAUGAUCUUCUUUCUCAUUGUUGCACCUGUAAAGAAAAUAACAUUAGCAUCCAGUAGUCGGUGUACUUGGAUAAUUUGGAAGAAAUGAUGCUGAUUGAAUGAAAAGUUGGAAAUAGAGCAACAAAAUUACCCCCUUUUUUCUUAGAGGAAAUAAAAAUAAUAAAGAAUCAGAAAAUGUAAAAUACACCUCUGUGCUGUUUUGGGAUAUCUGAGCACUCAAUUUCAGGUUCAGCACUAUGCUUCAACUUGCAUAACUUCCCUUCUGCUUCGCACUUUGUACAAUUUGGUGUGGACCAGUUGAAAAUAAGAUCUCCCUUUGGAUAAUAGAGCAUUUGAUGUGGGACUAAAGAAACAUUAUACUGCUUGCCGCAAGAUAACAAGGACGGCGAGUCGCUGAUUGAACUAUGAGAGUUGAGAACAAUAAAACGACGGUCAGGAUCACUAUCUGCGCAGGACAUAUCGUAUCUCGACCACAUCCGAGAUUCUUCUGCGGAACAACUGAAUACUGUAAAGUCUUCUAGAUACUCGUAUCCGAACUGGAAUAGAGAAGCUGAUAAAUUAAGGUGCUGAAGAUGUUUUGGAAGGCAACGAUUUGGGUCAUAUGCAUGAAGCUUUUGUGAUUUGUAAUCAAUCUUCGAGACGAAGAGCUUCACUGAUUCUGGCAGCUCGAGCACCGUCUCGUUAGUGCUGGCGCAAGAUAGAUCAAAACCGGGAUAGCCACAAUCAGGGUGGCUAUUUUUUAGACGGAAUGGAAAACGGAUGAGUGGUCCAUGUCGAUGGCAGUUUUCUUCAGGGCACCCUGUGCGUGCUGCAGGUGCUGCAAACAAUACCAAGAACAUAAUACAGAAGGGAGAGACAACCAUAUCCUUUAACCCAGUAGCCAUUUCCUUUACUUUGGAUCGCUCUCUAUAUUGCUUAUUUAACCUGUUUUCCAACAAUAAUAAUGGAUUGACGCGUUUUCUGCCUUACGGAUAGAAAGUGUGAGGGUCUG
This 1819-nucleotide unclassified non-coding RNA is filed under the name Hevea brasiliensis (rubber tree). Lineage: Eukaryota; Viridiplantae; Streptophyta; Magnoliopsida; Malpighiales; Euphorbiaceae. The record is from RNAcentral.